UACAGAGGUGGCAAGCGUUGUUCGGAAUUACUGGGCGUAAAGGGCGCGUAGGCGGCCGCCUAAGUCAGACGUGAAAUCCCCAGGCUUAACUUGGGAACUGCGUCUGAUACUGGGUGGCUUGAGUUCGGGAGAGGAAUGUGGAAUUCCAGGUGUAGCGGUGAAAUGCGUAGAUAUCGAGAGGAACACCAGUGGCGAAGGCGAGUCUCUGGACGAAUCCUGACACUGAGGCACGAAAGCUAGGGGAGCAAACAGG
RNAcentral lists this ribosomal RNA (253 nucleotides) under uncultured bacterium. Its description in RNAcentral is "partial 16S ribosomal RNA". It matches the Rfam family "Bacterial small subunit ribosomal RNA", at positions 524 to 776 of the family's 1533-position model. The record is from RNAcentral.